UUGCACUUUGCUGACGAGUGGCGGACGGGUGAGUAAUGCUUGGGAACUUGCCUUUGCGAGGGGGAUAACAGUUGGAAACGACUGCUAAUACCGCAUAAUGUCUACGGACCAAACGGGGCUUAGGCUUCGGCGCAGAGAGAGGCCCAAGUGAGAUUAGCUAGUUGGUGGGGUAAAGGCUCACCAAGGCGACGAUCUCUAGCUGUUCUGAGAGGAAGAUCAGCCACACUGGGACUGAGACACGGCCCAGACUCCUACGGGAGGCAGCAGUGGGGAAUAUUGCACAAUGGGGGGAACCCUGAUGCAGCCAUGCCGCGUGUGUGAAGAAGGCCUUCGGGUUGUAAAGCACUUUCAGUUGUGAGGAAAAGUGAGUAGUUAAUACCUGCUCACCGUGACGUUAACAACAGAAGAAGCACCGGCUAACUCCGUGCCAGCAGCCGCGGUAAUACGGAGGGUGCGAGCGUUAAUCGGAAUUACUGGGCGUAAAGCGCACGCAGGCGGUUUGUUAAGCUAGAUGUGAAAGCCCCGAGCUCAACUUGGGAUGGUCAUUUAGAACUGGCAGACUAGAGUCUUGGAGAGGGGAGUGGAAUUCCAGGUGUAGCGGUGAAAUGCGUAGAUAUCUGGAGGAACAUCAGUGGCGAAGGCGACUCCCUGGCCAAAGACUGACGCUCAUGUGCGAAAGUGUGGGUAGCGAACAGGAUUAGAUACCCUGGUAGUCCACACCGUAAACGCUGUCUACUAGCUGUUUGUGACUUUAAGUCGUGAGUAGCGAAGCUAACGCGAUAAGUAGACCGCCUGGGGGAGUACGGCCGCAAGGUUAAAACUCAAAUGAAUUGACGGGGGCCCGCACAAGCGGUGGAGCAUGUGGUUUAAUUCGAUGCAACGCGAAGAACCUUACCUACACUUGACAUGCAGAGAACUUUCUAGAAGAUAGAUUGGUGCCUUCGGGAACUCUGACACAGGUGCUGCAUGGCUGUCGUCAGCUCGUGUCGUGAAAAGGUUGGGUUAAGUCCCGCAACGAGCGCAACCCUUGUCCUUAGUUGCCAGCAUUCAGUUGGGCACUCUAAGG
This 1066-nucleotide ribosomal RNA is filed under the name uncultured bacterium. Its description in RNAcentral is "bacterial SSU rRNA". It matches the Rfam family "Bacterial small subunit ribosomal RNA", at positions 80 to 1145 of the family's 1533-position model. The record is from RNAcentral.